CAGUGGCGAACGGGUGAGUAACACGUGAGCAAUCUGCCCCUGACUCUGGGAUAAGCGCUGGAAACGGCGUCUAAUACCGGAUAUGAACUGCGAAGGCAUCUUCAGUAGUUGGAAAGAAUUUCGGUCAGGGAUGAGCUCGCGGCCUAUCAGCUUGUUGGUGAGGUAAUGGCUCACCAAGGCGUCGACGGGUAGCCGGCCUGAGAGGGUGACCGGCCACACUGGGACUGAGACACGGCCCAGACUCCUACGGGAGGCAGCAGUGGGGAAUAUUGCACAAUGGGCGCAAGCCUGAUGCAGCAACGCCGCGUGAGGGAUGACGGCCUUCGGGUUGUAAACCUCUUUUAGCAGGGAAGAAGCGAAAGUGACGGUACCUGCAGAAAAAGCGCCGGCUAACUACGUGCCAGCAGCCGCGGUAAUACGUAGGGCGCAAGCGUUAUCCGGAAUUAUUGGGCGUAAAGAGCUCGUAGGCGGUUUGUCGCGUCUGCUGUGAAAACUGGAGGCUCAACCUCCAGCCUGCAGUGGGUACGGGCAGACUAGAGUGCGGUAGGGGAGAUUGGAAUUCCUGGUGUAGCGGUGGAAUGCGCAGAUAUCAGGAGGAACACCGAUGGCGAAGGCAGAUCUCUGGGCCGUAACUGACGCUGAGGAGCGAAAGGGUGGGGAGCAAACAGGCUUAGAUACCCUGGUAGUCCACCCCGUAAACGUUGGGAACUAGUUGUGGGGUCCAUUCCACGGAUUCCGUGACGCAGCUAACGCAUUAAGUUCCCCGCCUGGGGAGUACGGCCGCAAGGCUAAAACUCAAAGGAAUUGACGGGGACCCGCACAAGCGGCGGAGCAUGCGGAUUAAUUCGAUGCAACGCGAAGAACCUUACCAAGGCUUGACAUAUACGAGAACGCUGCAGAAAUGUAGUUCUCUUUGGACACUCGUAAACAGGUGGUGCAUGGUUGUCGUCAGCUCGUGUCGUGAGAUGUUGGGUUAAGUCCCGCAACGAGCGCAACCCUCGUUCUAUGUUGCCAGCACGUAAUGGUGGGAACUCAUGGGAUACUGCCGGGGUCAACUCGGAGGAAGGUGGGGAUGACGUCAAAUCAUCAUGCCCCUUAUGUCUUGGGCUUCACGCAUGCUACAAUGGCCGGUACAAAGGGCUGCAAUACCGUAAGGUGGAGCGAAUCCCAAAAAGCCGGUCCCAGUUCGGAUUGAGGUCUGCAACUCGACCUCAUGAAGUCGGAGUCGCUAGUAAUCGCAGAUCAGCAACGCUGCGGUGAAUACGUUCCCGGGUCUUGUACACACCGCCCGUCAAGUCAUGAAAGU
This 1306-nucleotide ribosomal RNA is filed under the name Microbacterium laevaniformans. Its description in RNAcentral is "bacterial SSU rRNA". It matches the Rfam family "Bacterial small subunit ribosomal RNA", at positions 93 to 1411 of the family's 1533-position model. The record is from RNAcentral. Lineage: Bacteria; Bacillati; Actinomycetota; Actinomycetes; Micrococcales; Microbacteriaceae.